This is a long non-coding RNA of Triticum dicoccoides, 2725 nucleotides long. RefSeq lists it as uncharacterized. The transcript is spliced from 6 exons. The record is from RefSeq and is a predicted model, not a curated record. Lineage: Eukaryota; Viridiplantae; Streptophyta; Magnoliopsida; Poales; Poaceae.
UUGCGUUUGGAGGUGAGGGGGGCAACCGCGCCUAGAGGAGGUUGUCCCCAAUGCCCGAAUCCUCUCAUCGUUGAACUUGCCCACAUAGUAGGUCACCGCCGCUGGCUGAAUUCGCCCAGGUCGGCACCAUGCCCGUCUGCCCGCAACUCAUCCUUCCUGAAGAUGAGCAGAUAGGUAUCAUGAAGCUUCCUCCUUUCAGGUCAACCAUUUCCCAUUAUGUUUUCCGUUCAAUUUAUGAUUUUGUGGUGAUAUGGACAAAAUCUCCAUCUUUCUUUUUGGAUAUUAUACUUUUUCUAUGGCUACAAGGUGUUUAAUAAUAAUUCAACCAGGCAGCUGUAGAGGUUCACUGAAUAAUUUUUCCGUUGACAUCCUUAACUAGCUACUAGAGAUGUAUUACUGUAUUAUAUCAAUAUGUUGCAAUUUUCUUAAAUUCUGAUGUUCUGUGCACGAAUUGGAUCACUUCUGUUGGGCCUUCUUGUUGGUUGGUAAUAUACUGGUUCUUUUUGUGUAGGAUUAUUUGGUGUAGCAAGAAUGAUAGAGUUCUAGGCUGAAGCAAAGAAUGGACAGGGAAAUGGUUGCCUCAUAUGACCAAACUGAAUUUUGAAAUAAUAAUUUUUUGAGAGUUCAGAUGAGAUAGUAACAAAUCUGGCUAGGUAUAUCUCGCAAGUUUCAGAAAUCUCUGCUAAAUAAAGUGGAUUCUUCACCAGUGCCCUAUCUGGAGGGCCCCUUGUCAUUUUUUGCGACAAUGAAUUUUCUAUUCUUUGUUAGCCAUAUGCCAUAUUGUUUCUACACACUGAUUUCAAUACAGUAUGCUUUAUUACAUUUGAAGUAUCUUGUUUUUAAUUUAUGAAAGGAAACUUUGUGAAGCAUCGUACAACAAUACCCUGGAUUGGUUUAAAUGGUAUAUAUUUUUGGUCUGAUGAAUGUGCUAUAGCAAAGAACCAUGCAAGCAGUAACUAUAAGUUAACAAAAGAAGGAUUUCUAUCAAAGCUAUGUGGACUUUAGGAGGAAAUUCGCAAUACAGUCUAAAGCAAAACUACGGAUGUCCAUGGGUUUUCCCCUCAACAUUUUGCUUGUUUUGCAUCUAUUAGUUUCUGGAUAUUUUUUUGCGUGAGUUUCAUUUACUCUAUGCUUAUGAGAUGAUAGUUAUACCUUGCAUGCGAUCCAUGAUACAUAAUGUUGUUUCUUCACACUAUUUCUGUUAAAACCUACACUUGUUCAGUAUAUGAAGUCAAGUAGCCAAUAGCAAUAGGGUCAUUCAGGUUUUCCUUUUUCUCUUAUAGUAUAUGAAGUGCAUAUAUUUUUAAAUCAUUACAUUGAUGUCGCCGACAGUGCCGCCAUACAUGUUUCUUCCGUCGUUGUCGUCUAAAGGUAGAUAAAAUGCUCGAUUAGAUGAUCCCAGGUCUCUCUCUCUCAUCAAAUUUGAGAACAUGUUUUCAGGUCUUACAACAUAUAUAUCACACGAUCAUCUAUUAUUAUGGUCACAAUUUGAUCUCAUGACAGAAAUUAAAUGAAGGGGGGCAACUGGUUGGAGGAGGGAAACAAGUAAUAUAUUUUUCCUUCCUUUAUUUGCACCCUCUAAAAGGAUGCCAUUCCUGUGGUAGGUUGGUGAGUAACCAAGGUAUGUAUAAGAUAACAAUGGGUUUCCUAGACAAGUAUGGUCCUGAUAGAGUUCUCGAUACACCAAUCACAUAGAUCCUCGUGUUUUGUUCGACAACAACCGUGAUGGAACCGUUGACAUGAGGGAGGUCCUUUGCGGGCUGUCCAGCCCGGGGAACUCACAGGGCGAUGAUGUCGUGGGCUCUACUUUUAGAUGUACGAUGCCGAUCGAUCAAACAUCAACAACAAGUAGGAGCUGGCAUCGAUGCUUCGAGGUUUUUGAUUAUUCUAAGAACAACCUUUUGGAGUUUGGAUUACUCCGAGUAAUGAUUGUAGGAGCUGGGAGUGCUCUCCAUGCCCUGCUAUGACUGCUUGCACUACAUUAGUCUCCCAACACAGGAACGAAAUAACCAAACUUGUAGGAUUCUCUUGGCAACGUUGUGUCUUUGUCGGUGAAAUUAGAGAAGACUGCAAAAAUGAACAGAUAAGGAAUUAACAUGUUUUCUUUAUAUUUCAUAUCAUGAUGUCUAUGUGGUGCAUAUCGUACUUUAUAAUCUUAAAACUUAGUAACUUGUGUUUAAAUAUUUUUUCCCGAGAAACUUGUGUUUAAAUCAGAAGAGAUAAAGUAUUGCAAAGCUACAUUUAGUUUAUUUGCAGCUAGCUGCGCCAACCAUAACCUUGAAUUCAUUGUCUCGCAUGCUUGGGUGAGGCAAUGCUCCCUGUCCAGUCUAGGGACAUGUCUCAAAUAGGUUGAGUUCACAUAUUUUCUUGUUGACAAGUUUUUUCUCUCCACAUUUUGCAGGUUUAUAUCAGGUGCAUUCAGCCAAGUCAAAACAAGACACAAGCAAAUCAUUUAUCAAUAAACAAAGCCAACAUAUCAGCAACACAAAACAAGAUUAAUGCACACAACCAACAUUACAACGCAAAGAAGGGCUCUCACGAGGCUCGCAAUGGCGGCCCCAAUUAGUGAUACACCACUGAUCACGAGGGAGGACAAAAGAAAAAAGAAAAAGGGCAUCGACCACGCGUAGGGUCAUCCGGUGACGAACCGUGUACACUUGUGGCAAUCUUGGCUCGCACGAAACGUCGACGUCGCGGCGCCCGACCUGGCCACCCAAAUCCAAGC